GAUGAACGCUAGCGGCAGGCCUAAUACAUGCAAGCUGAACGGCAAGAUUUGUAGCAAUACGAGUCCUAGAGUAGCGUAAGGGUGCGUAACACGUAUGCAAUCUGCCCGCAACAGGAGGAUAGCUUAGCGAAAGUUGAGAUAAGACUCCAUAAGAUCACGAGAGGGCAUCUGAUUGUGAUUAAACUACAAGGGGUUNCGGAUGAGCAUGCGUCUGAUUAGUUAGUUGGCGGGGUAACGCCCACAAGACGAUGAUCAGUA
Molecule: ribosomal RNA, 258 nt
Filed under: uncultured bacterium
Lineage: Bacteria
Description: partial 16S ribosomal RNA
Rfam family: Bacterial small subunit ribosomal RNA
Source: RNAcentral